Gasterosteus aculeatus (three-spined stickleback) is the source of this 54-nucleotide non-coding RNA. Lineage: Eukaryota; Metazoa; Chordata; Actinopteri; Perciformes; Gasterosteidae. The record is from Rfam.
AUCAGGUCAAAUUGUAAGUCGCUUUGGAUAAAAGCGUCAGCUAAAUGACAUGUG